GAAUUCGAUUCGGUGUGACAAGGCCCGGGAACGUAUUCACCGCGGCGUGCUGAUCCGCGAUUACUAGCGAUUCCAACUUCAUGCAGGCGAGUUGCAGCCUACAAUCCGAACUGAGACAGGCUUUCUCCGAUUAGUUCCACCUUGCGGUCUCGCGACGGUUUGUACCUGCCAUUGUAGCACGUGUGUGGCCCCAGACAUAAAGGCCAUGCUGACUUGACGUCAUCCCCACCUUCCUCCGGUUUGUCACCGGCAGUCUCUUCAGAGUGCCCGGCAUAACCCGAUGGCAACAGAAGACAAGGGUUGCGCUCGUUGCGGGACUUAACCCAACAUCUCACGACACGAGCUGACGACAGCCAUGCAGCACCUCUACAGACGUCCUUGCGGAAGCCUACUUUCGUAGGAUGUCAUCUGCAGUUCAGGCCUGGGUAAGGUUCUUCGCGUUAAUCACUA
Molecule: ribosomal RNA, 450 nt
Filed under: uncultured soil bacterium
Lineage: Bacteria
Description: partial 16S ribosomal RNA
Source: RNAcentral